AACCAUAAACAUGUUUAUGCAACACAAAUAAUUUAAUAUAAUUAUUGCAAAUGUACUUACCAUAAUGAUUGUUUUACGAUCUCAGCCUGUUGUCUUGUUUCAAUUUCUCUUUGUGGGUUGUUCAUGCAAAGAACAGGAAAUACUGCAACAGAUAUGCCAGAACUGUGAGAGCUGCAGAGGAUUAACAAUGAACUUUUCUCUGCUCUUCUUUUUCUUCUUCAUUUUGCCAGGUCUUGGCUCUGCUGAAGUGAGGCUGAUCCAGAGCACAGAUAAAGACCAGUAUACUGUGGGAGAAUCUGCAACAUGUCAGUAAGAACUCCAUGAACCUGCAAUACAGAAAUUUGAUUGGCUGCACUAUGUAAUCGUAGGCAUAAACGUGCUGCUCUUCAUUGCUGCCACCAUUGUGUGUGCCAUCAUUAUUCGAAAACGCAGGAAGAGAAGAAACUACGGCACUCAGUAAUUUGUUUUGCUUUGCAUACAUAAUAUGAAAACAUUGAUCUAUAGCUAAUUUUACUGGGAAUAUACCAGACCAAUUC
This 536-nucleotide long non-coding RNA is filed under the name Astyanax mexicanus (Mexican tetra). Its description in RNAcentral is "lncRNA (ENSAMXG00005019833.1)". Lineage: Eukaryota; Metazoa; Chordata; Actinopteri; Characiformes; Acestrorhamphidae. The record is from RNAcentral.